UCUAGCUUGCUAGAAGAUGACGAGUGGCGCACGGGUGAGUAACGCGUAUACAAUCUACCUUUUACAGGGGGAUAGCCUUUAGAAAUGAAGAUUAAUAUCCCAUAGUAAGUAGUUUUGGCAUCAAGACAACUUUAAAGUUUCGGCGGUAAAAGAUGAGUAUGCGUUCUAUUAGCUAGAUGGUGUGGUAACGGCACACCAUGGCAACGAUAGAUAGGGGCCCUGAGAGGGGGAUCCCCCACACUGGUACUGAGACACGGACCAGACUCCUACGGGAGGCAGCAGUGAGGAAUAUUGGACAAUGGGCGCGAGCCUGAUCCAGCCAUGCCGCGUGCAGGAAGACUGCCCUAUGGGUUGUAAACUGCUUUUAUACAGGAAGAAACCUCAGAACGUGUUCUGAGCUGACGGUACUGUAAGAAUAAGGAUCGGCUAACUCCGUGCCAGCAGCCGCGGUAAUACGGAGGAUCCAAGCGUUAUCCGGAAUCAUUGGGUUUAAAGGGUCCGUAGGUGGAUAAUUAAGUCAGGGGUGAAAGUUUGCAGCUCAACUGUAAAAUUGCCUUUGAUACUGGUUAUCUUGAAUUAUUGUGAAGUGGUUAGAAUAUGUAGUGUAGCGGUGAAAUGCAUAGAUAUUACAUAGAAUACCAAUUGCGAAGGCAGAUCACUAACAAUAUAUUGACACUGAUGGACGAAAGCGUGGGGAGCGAACAGGAUUAGAUACCCUGGUAGUCCACGCCGUAAACGAUGGAUACUAGCUGUUCGGACUUCGGUCUGAGUGGCUAAGCGAAAGUGAUAAGUAUCCCACCUGGGGAGUACGUUCGCAAGAAUGAAACUCAAAGGAAUUUGACGGGGCCCGCACAAGCGGUGGAGCAUGUGG
This 871-nucleotide ribosomal RNA is filed under the name Winogradskyella sp. RNAcentral's name for it is "bacterial SSU rRNA". It matches the Rfam family "Bacterial small subunit ribosomal RNA", at positions 74 to 944 of the family's 1533-position model. Lineage: Bacteria; Pseudomonadati; Bacteroidota; Flavobacteriia; Flavobacteriales; Flavobacteriaceae. The record is from RNAcentral.